GUCGAACGCGUCUUGGUCAAUGAAGUUGAGUGCUUGCAUUUAACUGAUUUGACAUUAAGACGAGUGGCGAACUGGUGAGUAACACGUGGGUAACUUGCCCCGAAGCGGGGGAUAACAUUUGGAAACAGGUGCUAAUACCGCAUAACAACAAAAACCACAUGGUUUUUGUUUAAAAGAUGGUUUCGGCUAUCACUUUGGGAUGGACCCGCGGCGUAUUAGCUAGUUGGUGAGGUAAUGGCUCACCAAGGCAAUGAUACGUAGCCGACCUGAGAGGGUAAUCGGCCACAUUGGGACUGAGACACGGCCCAAACUCCUACGGGAGGCAGCAGUAGGGAAUCUUCCACAAUGGACGAAAGUCUGAUGGAGCAACGCCGCGUGAGUGAUGAAGGGUUUCGGCUCGUAAAACUCUGUUGUUGGAGAAGAACGGGUGUCAGAGUAACUGUUGACAUCGUGACGGUAUCCAACCAGAAAGCCACGGCUAACUACGUGCCAGCAGCCGCGGUAAUACGUAGGUGGCAAGCGUUGUCCGGAUUUAUUGGGCGUAAAGCGAGCGCAGGCGGUUUUUUAGGUCUGAUGUGAAAGCCUUCGGCUUAACCGGAGAAGUGCAUCGGAAACCGGGAGACUUGAGUGCAGAAGAGGACAGUGGAACUCCAUGUGUAGCGGUGAAAUGC
Molecule: ribosomal RNA, 671 nt
Filed under: Lactobacillus sp. JCM 1102
Lineage: Bacteria; Bacillati; Bacillota; Bacilli; Lactobacillales; Lactobacillaceae
Description: bacterial SSU rRNA
Rfam family: Bacterial small subunit ribosomal RNA
Source: RNAcentral